CCAGACUCCUACGGGAGGCAGCAGUGAGGAAUAUUGGUCAAUGGGCGUAAGCCUGAACCAGCCAAGUCGCGUGAGGGAUGAAGGAUCUAUGGUUCGUAAACCUCUUUUAUAAGGGAAUAAAGUGCGGGACGCGUCCCGCUUCGCAUGUACCUUAUGAAUAAGGAUCGGCUAACUCCGUGCCAGCAGCCGCGGUAAUACGGAGGAUCCGAGCGUUAUCCGGAUUUAUUGGGUUUAAAGGGUGCGCAGGCGGCCCUUUAAGCGGGUGGUGAAAGGCUGCGGCCCAACCGUGGAACUGCAGCGGAAACUGGGGGGCUUGAGUGUGUUGGAGGUAGGCGGAAUUCGUGGUGUAGCGGUGAAAUGCUUAGAUAUCACGAAGAACUCCGAUUGCGAAGGCAGCCUACC
This 402-nucleotide ribosomal RNA is filed under the name uncultured bacterium. RNAcentral describes it as "bacterial SSU rRNA". It matches the Rfam family "Bacterial small subunit ribosomal RNA", at positions 331 to 730 of the family's 1533-position model. The record is from RNAcentral.